AACGAACGCUGGCGGCAUGCCUAACACAUGCAAGUCGAACGAGACCUUCGGGUCUAGUGGCGCACGGGUGCGUAACGCGUCGGAACCUGCCCUUAGGUUCGGAAUAACUCCCCGAAAGGGGUGCUAAUACCGGAUAAUGUCUUCGGACCAAAGAUUUAUCGCCUUUGGAUGGGCCCGCGUUGGAUUAGCUGGUUGUUAGGGUAAAAGCCUACCACGGCGACGAUCCAUAGCUGGUCUGAGAGGAUGAUCAGCCACACUGGGACUGAGACACGGCCCAGAAUCUUACGGGAGGCAGCAGUGGGGAACAUUGGACCAUGGGCGAAAGCAUGAACCACUAAGGACGGGAGAGUGAUGAAGGUCUUAGGGUUGUAAAGCUCUUUUAACCGGGAUGAUAAUGACAGUACCGGGAGAAUAAGCUACGGCUAACUCCGUG
This 433-nucleotide ribosomal RNA is filed under the name uncultured bacterium. RNAcentral's name for it is "partial 16S ribosomal RNA". It matches the Rfam family "Bacterial small subunit ribosomal RNA", at positions 29 to 507 of the family's 1533-position model. The record is from RNAcentral.